Non-coding RNA from Rattus norvegicus (Norway rat), 73 nucleotides. NCBI's taxonomy places the organism in Eukaryota, Metazoa, Chordata, Mammalia, Rodentia, Muridae. The record is from Rfam.
GGGGAUUUAGCUCAGUGGUAGAGCGCUUGCCUAUCAAGUGCAAGGCGCUGGGUUUGGUCCCCAACGGUCCCCA